Molecule: ribosomal RNA, 355 nt
Filed under: marine copepod environmental sample
Lineage: Eukaryota; Metazoa; Arthropoda; Copepoda
Description: SSU rRNA
Rfam family: Eukaryotic small subunit ribosomal RNA
Source: RNAcentral
AGCUCCAAUAGCGUAUAUUAAAGUUGUUGUGGUUAAAAAGCUCGUACACUGACACUGACACUGACUUUUUUACCCGUGUGUUUUGCCAGAAUCUUACGGGUGAUCUUUACCGAUUGUCCGUUGGAACUGGCAGGUUUACUUUGAAAAAAUUAGAGUGCUCAAAGCAAGCUUACUGCUUGAAUAGUUGCGCAUGGAAUAAUAGAAUAGGAAGUCGUUUCUAUUUUGUUGGUUUUCGGAAAUCGACUUAAUGAUUAAUAGGGAUAGUCGGGGGCAUUCGUAUUCAAACGACAGAGGUGAAAUUCUUGGACCGUUUGAAGACGAACUAAGGCGAAAGCAUUUGCCAAGAAUGUUUUCA